Long non-coding RNA from Myxocyprinus asiaticus (Chinese sucker), 689 nucleotides. RefSeq lists it as uncharacterized. The transcript has 3 exons. Lineage: Eukaryota; Metazoa; Chordata; Actinopteri; Cypriniformes; Catostomidae. The record is from RefSeq and is a predicted model, not a curated record.
AUCCCAUCUCUCCUUCUGGCUACAGAGCACUUACUCCAGGAGGUUAGAAUUGUUUACAUAAUAUAAAACAGUCACUAAUGACAAUGUUCCACAUUUCCUUGCCUUUUUAAACUUAAGACCUUUAGAGUUUUUUGGUUGCUCAGUAGUAAUAUUUCUGCCUAUUUAUUUCAGCCCAUGAAAUCAAAUGCAGAUGUUCCUGAAGUAAGAUUUAAAUCUAAUUUAUUAAUUUGUUUGUCAUUAUCAUUAUUAUUGUUGUUGUUGUUUUUGGUGCAGUUUACAAUAGCUGUUGAAGAUGUUCAUGAUGUACAUUUUACAUGUUGUUCAUAUCUAUGAACAUAUGAUAUAGAUAAAAAACAAAUAAACUAGUGCAUUGUACUUAGGGCCACGAUCACGAACGGAUGGGGGGGAGGGGCUUAUACUAACUUGCACUGGGCCCAGCACCAUGCUUGGGUCGUCCCUGAUUUUUCUUGUACAUUGCAUCUGAACAAGGAAUAGUCUGCUAUGUAAAUAUUUUUCUGAUGUACAGUAUUAAGUGACUUGUUUCUAAUAUAUGAAUUUCUCUCUUACAGAUGUCAAAGACUCCAUCUCAUGUUCCCCUCUCACAUGCUCCUAAACCUUUGGAAUCAAAUGCAGAUUUCCUUGAUGUGCCGAAGGCUCCAUCCAAGGCUUCUCUGUCUGGUUCUGCCAAA